AAAAAAAAACAUAACAAAGUCCAUUUGGAAGAACAAAAGAUCAAGGAUAUCCAGGGAAAUAAUGAAAAAAAUGAGAAGGAAGGUAGCCUUGCAGUCCCAGAAUUCAAACUAUACUAUAAAGCAGUGGUCAUCAAAAUAAUAUGGCAAUGGCUAAGAGACAGAAAGGAGGAUCAGUGGAGUAGGCUUGGGAUUCAUCUCUUCUCCACAGAUCUGACAGGAGUCCACAGGAGGCCAGCCUCUUCCCAAGUAGCUCCUGGGAGCAAAAAGAAAUUAUGGAAAAUUCAGUGACUGAACCAAGAUAAUUAUUAUGGAAGAAUGGAUGCAAAAAAGAAGAAGAAAGUCAUACAUGAUGAUAAUUGCCACUAGAUGUUGACUAUAACUUUAAAAUAUAACAAUCAGG
This 400-nucleotide long non-coding RNA is filed under the name Monodelphis domestica (gray short-tailed opossum). RNAcentral's name for it is "lncRNA (ENSMODG00000031178.2)". The record is from RNAcentral. Lineage: Eukaryota; Metazoa; Chordata; Mammalia; Didelphimorphia; Didelphidae.